GAUGAAGAACGUAGCGAAAUGCGAUAAGUAAUGUGAAUUGCAGAAUUCAGUGAAUCAUCGAAUCUUUGAACGCACAUUGCGCCCCUUGGUAUUCCGAGGGGCAUGCCUGUUCGAGCGUCAUAUUAACCACUCCCGCUUGCGGGGUCUUGGGCUUCGCCUCCGGGCGGGCCUUAAAAUCAGUGGCGGUGCCGUCGGGCUCUAUGCGUAGUAAAUUUUCUCGCGAUAGGGUCCCGGUGGAUGCUUGCCAACAACCCCCAACUUCUUAAGGUUGACCUCGGAUCAGGUAGGGAUACCCGCUGAACUUAAGCAUAUCAAUAAGCGGAGGA
RNAcentral lists this unclassified non-coding RNA (326 nucleotides) under soil metagenome. RNAcentral describes it as "partial contains 5.8S ribosomal RNA, internal transcribed spacer 2, and large subunit ribosomal RNA". The stretch from base 1 to 120 matches the Rfam family "5.8S ribosomal RNA", at positions 35 to 154 of the family's 154-position model. The record is from RNAcentral.